AUUGUGCCAGCGGCCGCGGUAAUACGAAGGGUGCAAGCGUUACUCGGAAUUACUGGGCGUAAAGCGUGCGUAGGCGGUUCGUUAAGUCUGUCGUGAAAGCCCUGGGCUCAACCUGGGAAUUGCGAUGGAUACUGGCGAGCUAGAGUACGGUAGAGGAUGGUGGAAUUCCCGGUGUAGCGGUGAAAUGCGUAGAGAUCGGGAGGAACACCCGUGGCGAAGGCGGCCAUCUGGACCAGUACUGACGCUGAGGCACGAAAGCGUGGGGAGCAAACAGGAUUAGAUACCCUGGUAGUCCACGCCCUAAACGAUGCGAACUGGAUGUUGGGCACACUUAGGUGCUCAGUGUCGAAGCUAACGCGUUAAGUUCGCCGCCUGGGGAGUACGGUCGCAAGACUGAAACUCAAAGGAAUUGACGGGGGCCCGCACAAGCGGUGGAGUAUGUGGUUUAAUUCGAUGCAACGCGAAGAACCUUACCUGGCCUUGACAUGUCCGGAAUCCUGCAGAGAUGCGGGAGUGCCUUCGGGAAUCGGAACACAGGUGCUGCAUGGCUGUCGUCAGCUCGUGUCGUGAGAUGUUGGGUUAAGUCCCGCAACGAGCGCAACCCUUGUCCUUAGUUGCCAGCACGUAAUGGUGGGAACUCUAAGGAGACUGCCGGUGACAAACCGGAGGAAGGUGGGGAUGACGUCAAGUUAUCAUGGCCCUUACGGCCAGGGCUACACACGUACUACAAUGGUCGGUACAGAGGGUCGCAAUGCCGCGAGGCGGAGCCAAUCCCAGAAAGCCGAUCUCAGUCCGGAUCGGAGUCUGCAACUCGACUCCGUGAAGUCGGAAUCGCUAGUAAUCGCAGAUCAGCAUUGCUGCGGUGAAUACGUUCCCGGGCCUUGUACACACCGCCCGUCACACCAUGGGAGUUGGUUGCUCCAGAAGCAGGUAGUCUAACCGCAAGGAGGACGCUUGCCACGGAGUGGUCAAUGACUGGGGUGAAGUCGUAACAAGGUAACCAAU
This 1005-nucleotide ribosomal RNA is filed under the name uncultured Dokdonella sp. RNAcentral's name for it is "bacterial SSU rRNA". It matches the Rfam family "Bacterial small subunit ribosomal RNA", at positions 502 to 1504 of the family's 1533-position model. Lineage: Bacteria; Pseudomonadati; Pseudomonadota; Gammaproteobacteria; Lysobacterales; Rhodanobacteraceae. The record is from RNAcentral.